UGGGGAAUAUUGCACAAUGGGGGAAACCCUGAUGCAGCGACGCCGCGUGAGCGAAGAAGGCUUUCGAGUCGUAAAGCUCUGUCCUAUGAGAAGAUAAUGACGGUAUCAUAGGAGGAAGCCCUGGCUAAAUACGUGCCAGCAGCCGCGGUAAUACGUAUGGGGCGAGCGUUGUCCGGAAUUAUUGGGCGUAAAGGGUACGUAGGCGGUUUUUUAAGUCAGGUGUCAAAGCGUGGAGCUUAACUCCAUUAAGCACUUGAAACUGAAAGACUUGAGUGCAGGAGAGGAAAGUGGAAUUCCUAGUGUAGCGGUGCAAUGCGUAGAUAUUAGGAGGACUACCGGUGGCGAAGGCGACUUUCUGGACUUUUACUGACGCUCAGGUACGAAAGCGUGGGGAGCAAACAGG
This 403-nucleotide ribosomal RNA is filed under the name Verrucomicrobiota bacterium. Its description in RNAcentral is "Verrucomicrobia bacterium partial 16S ribosomal RNA". It matches the Rfam family "Bacterial small subunit ribosomal RNA", at positions 355 to 776 of the family's 1533-position model. Lineage: Bacteria; Pseudomonadati; Verrucomicrobiota. The record is from RNAcentral.